This 472-nucleotide ribosomal RNA is filed under the name uncultured bacterium. Its description in RNAcentral is "partial 16S ribosomal RNA". It matches the Rfam family "Bacterial small subunit ribosomal RNA", at positions 330 to 792 of the family's 1533-position model. The record is from RNAcentral.
GCCAGACUCCUACGGGAGGCAGCAGUGGGGAAUAUUGCGCAAUGGGCGAAAGCCUGACGCAGCGACGCCGCGUGAGGGAUGAAGGUCUUCGGAUCGUAAACCUCUGUCAGCAGGGAAGAACGGUCACUGUGCUAAUCAGCAGUGAAUUGACGGUACCUGCAAAGGAAGCACCGGCUAACUCCGUGCCAGCAGCCGCGGUAAUACGGAGGGUGCGAGCGUUAAUCGGAAUUACUGGGCGUAAAGCGCUCGUAGGCGGUAUGUCAAGUCAAGGGUGAAAUCCCCGCGCUCAACGUGGGAACUGCCUUUGAAACUGGCAAACUGGAGUGUGUGAGAGGAUAGUGGAAUUCCAGGUGUAGGAGUGAAAUCCGUAGAUAUCUGGAGGAACAUCAGUGGCGAAGGCGACUAUCUGGCACAUAACUGACGCUGAGGAGCGAAAGGGGGGGGGGGGGGGGGGGGGGGGGGGGGCGGUAGU